This 328-nucleotide ribosomal RNA is filed under the name uncultured myxomycete. RNAcentral's name for it is "bacterial SSU rRNA". It matches the Rfam family "Eukaryotic small subunit ribosomal RNA", at positions 80 to 365 of the family's 1831-position model. Lineage: Eukaryota; Evosea; Eumycetozoa. The record is from RNAcentral.
UCUGAAUCUGCGNACGGCUCCGCAAACCAGUUGUAAACUAUAGCAAGCAAGCUCGUGUCCUUCACCGGGUGCGGGCAACACGGAUAACCCUGGUAAUUCUGAGGCUAAUACGAGAUCGUACUCCCUGGCUGACCGGGCAACUGGAAGGCUGGGAGGUGUGUGAUUUAGCACGAGGAAUCUGCUGGGAAUAGACACAUGCCUGGACCGCGCCAAAAACAGAUGGGGCUUCCCGCAAGGGUCGUCCUGCCUGAGCGGCUCUUGCUUUGUGCUUCUGACCUAUCAACUAGAUGGCAGCGUAAGGGACAUGCUAUGGUGACAACGGGUACAG